RNAcentral lists this microRNA (22 nucleotides) under Dasypus novemcinctus (nine-banded armadillo). RNAcentral's name for it is "Dno-Mir-134_3p (mature (co-guide))". Lineage: Eukaryota; Metazoa; Chordata; Mammalia; Cingulata; Dasypodidae. The record is from RNAcentral.
UGUGGGCCACCUAGUCACCAGC